AAGUCUGAUGGAGCAACGCCGCGUGAGUGAAGAAGGGUUUCGGCUCGUAAAGCUCUGUUGGUAGUGAAGAAAGAUAGAGGUAGUAACUGGCCUUUAUUUGACGGUAAUUACUUAGAAAGUCACGGCUAACUGCGUGCCAGCAGCCGCGGUAAUACGUAGGUGGCAAGCGUUGUCCGGAUUUAUUGGGCGUAAAGCGAGUGCAGGCGGUUCAAUAAGUCUGAUGUGAAAGCCUUCGGCUCAACCGGAGAAUUGCAUCAGAAACUGUUGAACUUGAGUGCAGAAGAGGAGAGUGGAACUCCAUGUGUAGCGGUGGAAUGCGUAGAUAUAUGGAAGAACACCAGUGGCGAAGGCGGCUCUCUGGUCUGCAACUGACGCUGAGGCUCGAAAGCAUGGGUAGCGAACAGGAUUAGAUACCCUGGUAGUCCAUGCCGUAAACGAUGAGUGCUGAGUGUUGGGAGGUUUCCGCCUCUCAGUGCUGCAGCUAACGCAUUAAGCACUCCGCCUGGGGAGUACGACCGCAAGGUUGAAACUCAAAGGAAUUGACGGGGGCCCGCACAAGCGGUGGAGCAUGUGGUUUAAUUCGAAGCAACGCGAAGAACCUUACCAGG
This 608-nucleotide ribosomal RNA is filed under the name Lactobacillus gasseri. RNAcentral describes it as "bacterial SSU rRNA". It matches the Rfam family "Bacterial small subunit ribosomal RNA", at positions 379 to 978 of the family's 1533-position model. Lineage: Bacteria; Bacillati; Bacillota; Bacilli; Lactobacillales; Lactobacillaceae. The record is from RNAcentral.